Molecule: transfer RNA, 70 nt
Filed under: Camelus bactrianus (Bactrian camel)
Lineage: Eukaryota; Metazoa; Chordata; Mammalia; Artiodactyla; Camelidae
Also listed under: 1 other name
Rfam family: tRNA
About the family: Transfer RNA (tRNA) molecules are approximately 80 nucleotides in length. Their secondary structure includes four short double-helical elements and three loops (D, anti-codon, and T loops). Further hydrogen bonds mediate the characteristic L-shaped molecular structure. tRNAs have two regions of fundamental functional importance: the anti-codon, which is responsible for specific mRNA codon recognition, and the 3' end, to which the tRNAs corresponding amino acid is attached (by aminoacyl-tRNA synthetases). tRNAs cope with the degeneracy of the genetic code in two manners: having more than one tRNA (with a specific anti-codon) for a particular amino acid; and 'wobble' base-pairing, i.e. permitting non-standard base-pairing at the 3rd anti-codon position.
Source: Rfam by way of RNAcentral
GGGUAUAGCUCUGUAGUAAAGCACAUGCUUAGUAACCAUGAGGUCCUGGGUUCAAUCCCCAGUAUUGCCA